GAUCAUGGCUCAGGACGAACGCUGGCGGCGUGCCUAAUACAUGCAAGUAGAACGCUGAAGGAGGAGCUUGCUUCUCCGGAUGAGUUGCGAACGGGUGAGUAACGCGUAGGUAACCUGCCUGGUAGCGGGGGAUAACUAUUGGAAACGAUAGCUAAUACCGCAUAAGAGUAGAUGUUGCAUGACAUUUACUUAAAAGGUGCAAUUGCAUCACUACCAGAUGGACCUGCGUUGUA
RNAcentral lists this ribosomal RNA (233 nucleotides) under uncultured bacterium. RNAcentral describes it as "partial 16S ribosomal RNA". It matches the Rfam family "Bacterial small subunit ribosomal RNA", at positions 15 to 240 of the family's 1533-position model. The record is from RNAcentral.